GAUGAACGCUGGCGGCGUGCCUAAUACAUGCAAGUCGAGCGAACGGACGAGAAGCUUGCUUCUCUGAUGUUAGCGGCGGACGGGUGAGUAACACGUGGAUAACCUACCUAUAAGACUGGGAUAACUUCGGGAAACCGGAGCUAAUACCGGAUAAUAUUUUGAACCGCAUGGUUCAAAAGUGAAAGACGGUCUUGCUGUCACUUAUAGAUGGAUCCGCGCUGCAUUAGCUAGUUGGUAAGGUAACGGCUUACCAAGGCAACGAUGCAUAGCCGACCUGAGAGGGUGAUCGGCCACCCGGGAACUGAGAAACGGUCCAGACUCCGACGGGAGGCAGCAGUAGGGAAUCUUCCGCAAUGGGCGAAAGCCGGACGGAGCAACGCCGCGUGAGGGAUGAAGGUCUUCGGAUCGUAAAACUCUGUAAUUAGGGAAGAACAUAUGUGUAAGUAACUGUGCACAUCUUGACGGUACCUAAUCAGAAAGCCACGGCUAACUACGUG
RNAcentral lists this ribosomal RNA (497 nucleotides) under uncultured bacterium. RNAcentral's name for it is "partial 16S ribosomal RNA". It matches the Rfam family "Bacterial small subunit ribosomal RNA", at positions 28 to 507 of the family's 1533-position model. The record is from RNAcentral.